RNAcentral lists this ribosomal RNA (774 nucleotides) under uncultured Neocallimastigales. Its description in RNAcentral is "partial large subunit ribosomal RNA". It matches the Rfam family "Eukaryotic large subunit ribosomal RNA", at positions 22 to 644 of the family's 3401-position model. Lineage: Eukaryota; Fungi; Neocallimastigomycota; Neocallimastigomycetes; Neocallimastigales. The record is from RNAcentral.
GUACACGCUGUGACUAGCAUAUCAAUAAGCGGAGGAAAAGAAACUAACAAGGAUUCCCCUAGUAACGGCGAGUGAAGCGGGAAGAGCUCAAAUUUGAAAUCUUAAAGGGUUUCCCUUUACGAAUUGUAGUUUAAAGAAGUGUUUUCUGUUGAGGUUUUGGUAAAAGUUCUUUGGAAUAGGACAUCAUAGAGGGUGAGAAUCCCGUAUUUGACCUUUACUUUCAACUUUGUGAUACACUUUCAAAGAGUCGGAUUGUUUGGGAAUGCAGUCCAAAAUGGGUGGUAAAUUUCAUCUAAAGCUAAAUAUUGGCGAGAGACCGAUAGCGAACAAGUACCGUGAGGGAAAGAUGAAAAGAACUUUGAAAAGAGAGUUAAACAGUACGUGAAAUUGUCAAAAGGGAAGCGUUUGACACCAGUGUUGUUUUUCUGAAAAUCAAUUAAAGAACUGUUUAUGCUAAGUUGUUUAGACUUUAUCAGCUAUCUGCUUAGUUUUGAGCUUUUCUUUAAUGCACUUUUCAGUUAACAAGUCAACAUCAAUUUCUUUUGCUGUAAAAAAGCUUGAGGAAGGUGGCUUGAGAUUCGUCUUAAGUGUUUAUAGCCUCUUGCCUAUGCAGUCGGAGAGAUUGAGGUCUGCAGCGUAGAUCCUUCGGGGCUAAAUGCAUUUGUGCUAAGUUAUAACAUUUUAUAGACAACUUGUUGACUAUGAUUUGUCUUGUAGCUUACUCGCUUAUGUUAUUUUACCUACGCUUAGGAUGUUGAAUCUGUGCGAGACUAC